Molecule: ribosomal RNA, 442 nt
Filed under: uncultured bacterium
Lineage: Bacteria
Description: bacterial SSU rRNA
Rfam family: Bacterial small subunit ribosomal RNA
Source: RNAcentral
CCUACGGGGGGCAGCAGUCGGGAAUUUUCCACAAUGGGCGAAAGCCUGAUGGAGCAACACCGCGUGCAGGAUGAAGGCCUUCGGGUUGUAAACUGCUUUUAUGUGCGAAGAAUAUGACGGUAACACAUGAAUAAGGGUCGGCUAACUACGUGCCAGCAGCCGCGGUCAUACGUAGGACCCAAGCGUUAUCCGGAUUUACUGGGCGUAAAGAGUUGCGUAGGUGGUUUAUAUAAGUGGAGCGUGAAAGCGUGUGGCUCAACCAUACAGCUGCGCUGUAAACUGUUAAACUUGAGUAUGAGAGGGGUAGAUGGAAUUUCUAGUGUAGGAGUGAAAUCCGUAGAUAUUAGAAGGAACACCGAUAGCGUAGGCAGUCUACUGGCUCAUUACUGACACUAAGGCACGAAAGCGUGGGGAGCAAACGGGAUUAGAUACCCUUGUAGUC